ACAGCCUUCCAAGAAGAGUGGAAGCCGUUAUAGCUGUAAAUGGGGGACCAACUACAUUUUAAUGUCUAUGUAUUCAGAAUGUGAUAUCAUAAAGGUCCCUGUUGGUGUAAUGGUCAGAUCAAACAAAUGUAUCAUUUUGCUCUUUUUAACUAUAGUCCAUACUGCUUACAUAGAUCUGAUGUAUAAGCUCUGCUAUAAGUUUUAUAUUACCAUUUGUGCAACGCUGUGGAGUAUGAAGGUGCUUUAUAAAUCUAAUAAUAACUAAUAAUAAGCAAUGUUUUAUAUAAGCUCAUAUUAUUGUAGUAUUCUUUCUGAUUACACUGUUCAUACAUAACACAAGCCAUAUCUGACAAUAGUGACUAUGAUCAUGUGUUCACUGCAUUUUACAUGCCAAAUAAAAGUAUAUUUGUGCAA
This is a long non-coding RNA of Spea bombifrons (plains spadefoot toad), 414 nucleotides long. RefSeq lists it as uncharacterized. The record is from RefSeq and is a predicted model, not a curated record. Lineage: Eukaryota; Metazoa; Chordata; Amphibia; Anura; Pelobatidae. The transcript is spliced from 2 exons.